ACUCCUACGGAAGGCAGCAGUGGGGAAUAUUGGACAAUGGGCGAAAGCCUGAUCCAGCAAUGCCGCGUGGGUGAAGACGGCCUGCGGGUUGUAAAGCCCUUUAGGUGGGGAGGAAAGGCGGGACGUGAACAGCGUUUCGCACUGACGUUACCCACGGAAUAAGCACCGGCUAACUCCGUGCCAGCAGCCGCGGUAAUG
This 198-nucleotide ribosomal RNA is filed under the name uncultured bacterium. Its description in RNAcentral is "partial 16S ribosomal RNA". It matches the Rfam family "Bacterial small subunit ribosomal RNA", at positions 335 to 525 of the family's 1533-position model. The record is from RNAcentral.